Molecule: long non-coding RNA, 995 nt
Organism: Neopsephotus bourkii (Bourke's parrot)
Lineage: Eukaryota; Metazoa; Chordata; Aves; Psittaciformes; Psittacidae
Exons: 2
Source: RefSeq, a predicted model, not a curated record
GUUUUUUCCCCAAAUCUCUGCAAUCUGAGCAGUGACUCACCCCCCAGCUGGUGUGAAUCAGCACUGGGCUAACGAGCACAGAGCAACCAUGCUCAUUUAUGUCUCUGCCAGCACAGCCUACCUUUCUGGUGCCCCAGUACCAGAGCCACCAGUAGCUCCAGCUCAUGCAUUCUCCCUGAAGGCCACCAAGGAUGGGUUUGCUCAGGAUACAGCAGGGACUUCCAGGAAGCUCACAAUGAUCCCUUCUGGAUUUGAAAUCUGAGAGGAACCCGCAUUUGGAGAGUCUGGAAUGGAAAAGCAGCCCCCUCCUGCCUGGCCCAGGCUUCUGAAGCUGGAGCAUCAGGCCAGGUGGGAUUUACCACUUGCCAAUGUGUAACCUGGCAGGGCUGAGCCACUUGGAUACGAAUUCCUCCUCUUCUGAUGAAGACAGGGAGCCAGGCGGAGCACCGCAGCUUUCCCAGCAGCACUCAAUGGCAUGCCGUACCCCAGGGCGACUUGCGUUCCCUGCUGUGAAAAGCUGUAAAUUACACACCAAUAACUGCAUGGAAAUGGCUGGGCAAAUAUUUGGAGAGGGUGAGAAACUCUGUAGAAAUCACUGCUCUCGAGUCACUUAUGGAUGGGAAAAGGUGAACCGAAAACAUCGCCCUGGCACGUGAUCUGCUGGGCGUUAUUCAUCUUAACAGCACUGCUCCCUCUCUUCUUCCCCAUCCUUUCUUAUCUGCUUGCCCUCUUCACUCUUGCUAUGCAGUGGCUGAUGAAACCAUGGUUUCCAAAUGGAUUUAUUUUUUACCCUUCCAAAUUUCUAAUGGCAAUAAAAUACUUCAAAGGCAGAGGCAACUCAGAUGCCAGCUUCUAGCCUAGAGCUUACUUUUACAGCUCUGUAAUAAACCCCUCUAAGAGAAAUGUUUAUAAUGGCCUUGACCGUGGUGCUUGACUAUUGCAGUGCUUUCUGUCACCCUCAUAAUGUGAAGUGCCAAUAAAUCACCUGAACUGUU